CCAUUGUAUUGGAAAUUACGUGCGUUGUUUGGCAUUCCGUAGUUAUUGGGAGGCACUCCACCCAUGUUUGGUGGCAUAUUCGGCUGCUGCAUCCCACCUCCACGGGGUGGCCCUCUCAUGUCCGGCUGCUGCAUCCCGCCUGCAUGAGGUGGUGGCCCUCCAUAGCCUUGCUGCUGCAUGGGUGGUCCUCUCAUGUCCGGCUGCUGCAUACCGCCUGCAUGAGGUGGUGGCCCUCCAUAGCCUUGCUGCUGGUGCAUCCCGCCUGCAUGAGGUGGUGGCCCUCCCAUGCCUUGCUGCUGGUGCAUUCCACCCAUGUUAGGUUGCUGCAUGCCGCCCAUGUUGGGAGGCCCCCCUGCUGCCAUGUUAGAUCCAGGGUUCUGACUGGGUUGAUUCUGCAUCUCUCUUCUUCUCUCAAAGU
This 418-nucleotide long non-coding RNA is filed under the name Solanum lycopersicum (tomato). Its description in RNAcentral is "partial TCONS_00183919". The record is from RNAcentral. Lineage: Eukaryota; Viridiplantae; Streptophyta; Magnoliopsida; Solanales; Solanaceae.